GGGUUGUGAGGUUAAGCGACUAAGCGUACACGGUGGAUGCCCUGGCAGUCAGAGGCGAUGAAGGACGUGCUAAUCUGCGAUAAGCGUCGGUAAGGUGAUAUGAACCGUUAUAACCGGCGAUUUCCGAAUGGGGAAACCCAGUGUGAUUCGUCACACUAUCAUUAACUGAAUCCAUAGGUUAAUGAGGCGAACCGGGGGAACUGAAACAUCUAAGUACCCCGAGGAAAAGAAAUCAACCGAGAUUCCCCCAGUAGCGGCGAGCGAACGGGGAGGAGCCCAGAGCCUGAAUCAGUGUGUGUGUUAGUGGAAGCGUCUGGAAAGGCGCGCGAUACAGGGUGACAGCCCCGUACACAAAAAUGCACAUAUUGUGAGCUCGAUGAGUAGGGCGGGACACGUGGUAUCCUGUCUGAAUAUGGGGGGACCAUCCUCCAAGGCUAAAUACUCCUGACUGACCGAUAGUGAACCAGUACCGUGAGGGAAAGGCGAAAAGAACCCCGGCGAGGGGAGUGAAAAAGAACCUGAAACCGUGUACGUACAAGCAGUGGGAGCACGCUUAGGCGUGUGACUGCGUACCUUUUGUAUAAUGGGUCAGCGACUUAUAUUCUGUAGCAAGGUUAACCGAAUAGGGGAGCCGAAGGGAAACCGAGUCUUAACUGGGCGUUAAGUUGCAGGGUAUAGACCCGAAACCCGGUGAUCUAGCCAUGGGCAGGUUGAAGGUUGGGUAACACUAACUGGAGGACCGAACCGACUAAUGUUGAAAAAUUAGCGGAUGACUUGUGGCUGGGGGUGAAAGGCCAAUCAAACCGGGAGAUAGCUGGUUCUCCCCGAAAGCUAUUUAGGUAGCGCCUCGUGAAUUCAUCUCCGGGGGUAGAGCACUGUUUCGGCAAGGGGGUCAUCCCGACUUACCAACCCGAUGCAAACUGCGAAUACCGGAGAAUGUUAUCACGGGAGACACACGGCGGGUGCUAACGUCCGUCGUGAAGAGGGAAACAACCCAGACCGCCAGCUAAGGUCCCAAAGUCAUGGUUAAGUGGGAAACGAUGUGGGAAGGCCCAGACAGCCAGGAUGUUGGCUUAGAAGCAGCCAUCAUUUAAAGAAAGCGUAAUAGCUCACUGGUCGAGUCGGCCUGCGCGGAAGAUGUAACGGGGCUAAACCAUGCACCGAAGCUGCGGCAGCGACGCUUAUGCGUUGUUGGGUAGGGGAGCGUUCUGUAAGCCUGCGAAGGUGUGCUGUGAGGCAUGCUGGAGGUAUCAGAAGUGCGAAUGCUGACAUAAGUAACGAUAAAGCGGGUGAAAAGCCCGCUCGCCGGAAGACCAAGGGUUCCUGUCCAACGUUAAUCGGGGCAGGGUGAGUCGACCCCUAAGGCGAGGCCGAAAGGCGUAGUCGAUGGGAAACAGGUUAAUAUUCCUGUACUUGGUGUUACUGCGAAGGGGGGACGGAGAAGGCUAUGUUGGCCGGGCGACGGUUGUCCCGGUUUAAGCGUGUAGGCUGGUUUUCCAGGCAAAUCCGGAAAAUCAAGGCUGAGGCGUGAUGACGAGGCACUACGGUGCUGAAGCAACAAAUGCCCUGCUUCCAGGAAAAGCCUCUAAGCAUCAGGUAACAUCAAAUCGUACCCCAAACCGACACAGGUGGUCAGGUAGAGAAUACCAAGGCGCUUGAGAGAACUCGGGUGAAGGAACUAGGCAAAAUGGUGCCGUAACUUCGGGAGAAGGCACGCUGAUAUGUAGGUGAAGUCCCUUGCGGAUGGAGCUGAAAUCAGUCGAAGAUACCAGCUGGCUGCAACUGUUUAUUAAAAACACAGCACUGUGCAAACACGAAAGUGGACGUAUACGGUGUGACGCCUGCCCGGUGCCGGAAGGUUAAUUGAUGGGGUCAGCGCAAGCGAAGCUCUUGAUCGAAGCCCCGGUAAACGGCGGCCGUAACUAUAACGGUCCUAAGGUAGCGAAAUUCCUUGUCGGGUAAGUUCCGACCUGCACGAAUGGCGUAAUGAUGGCCAGGCUGUCUCCACCCGAGACUCAGUGAAAUUGAACUCGCUGUGAAGAUGCAGUGUACCCGCGGCAAGACGGAAAGACCCCGUGAACCUUUACUAUAGCUUGACACUGAACAUUGAGCCUUGAUGUGUAGGAUAGGUGGGAGGCUUGGAAGUGUGGACGCCAGUCUGCAUGGAGCCGACCUUGAAAUACCACCCUUUAAUGUUUGAUGUUCUAACGUUGACCCGUAAUCCGGGUUGCGGACAGUGUCUGGUGGGUAGUUUGACUGGGGCGGUCUCCUCCUAAAGAGUAACGGAGGAGCACGAAGGUUGGCUAAUCCUGGUCGGACAUCAGGAGGUUAGUGCAAUGGCAUAAGCCAGCUUGACUGCGAGCGUGACGGCGCGAGCAGGUGCGAAAGCAGGUCAUAGUGAUCCGGUGGUUCUGAAUGGAAGGGCCAUCGCUCAACGGAUAAAAGGUACUCCGGGGAUAACAGGCUGAUACCGCCCAAGAGUUCAUAUCGACGGCGGUGUUUGGCACCUCGAUGUCGGCUCAUCACAUCCUGGGGCUGAAGUAGGUCCCAAGGGUAUGGCUGUUCGCCAUUUAAAGUGGUACGCGAGCUGGGUUUAGAACGUCGUGAGACAGUUCGGUCCCUAUCUGCCGUGGGCGCUGGAGAACUGAGGGGGGCUGCUCCUAGUACGAGAGGACCGGAGUGGACGCAUCACUGGUGUUCGGGUUGUCAUGCCAAUGGCACUGCCCGGUAGCUAAAUGCGGAAGAGAUAAGUGCUGAAAGCAUCUAAGCACGAAACUUGCCCCGAGAUGAGUUCUCCCUGACCCUUUAAGGGUCCUGAAGGAACGUUGAAGACGACGACGUUGAUAGGCCGGGUGUGUAAGCGCAGCGAUGCGUUGAGCUAACCGGUACUAAUGAACCGUGAGGCUUAACCUUACAACGCCGAAGCUGUU
This 2930-nucleotide ribosomal RNA is filed under the name Escherichia coli. Its description in RNAcentral is "23S ribosomal RNA". It matches the Rfam family "Bacterial large subunit ribosomal RNA". Lineage: Bacteria; Pseudomonadati; Pseudomonadota; Gammaproteobacteria; Enterobacterales; Enterobacteriaceae. The record is from RNAcentral.